This is a long non-coding RNA of Magnolia sinica, 420 nucleotides long. RefSeq lists it as uncharacterized. The record is from RefSeq and is a predicted model, not a curated record. The transcript has 3 exons. Lineage: Eukaryota; Viridiplantae; Streptophyta; Magnoliopsida; Magnoliales; Magnoliaceae.
CCUCAAAAUCUAAAACUAGGCGAGACGCCAAUAGAAUUUGCAGAAAGAGUCAAGGACAUAAUAUCUAUUCGAGUUGGUCUUAAAAAGGUUCCUUGGGAUAGAUAUCUGAAAUACUCUCGUCCUGGUCCAAAGCACACCGAACAGAAGCAACAAAUCUUCGCAGAGUCAGUGCUGCGACGUCUCGAGGAAAAAUGAAGAAAAAUCAGGCUCGUGUAUGGAAUUUCCCUUUUUCCAUUUAAUGUCCCCUUUAUUUAGCUAUUUUUGCAGUUUCAUGCUGAUGCGAUCCCUUUUCUGAAUUUCCACUUUUUUGCUUGUAACUAUGGUGUAUAUUAUUGUUAGAGAAAUGCAAGAUUGCGUGUAUUACAUUCAAACCCUGACAUAAGCAGAUUAGGUGAUGUAGGACAUGAAAAUUAGAUAUGA